This 429-nucleotide ribosomal RNA is filed under the name Chloroflexota bacterium. RNAcentral's name for it is "Chloroflexi bacterium partial 16S ribosomal RNA". It matches the Rfam family "Bacterial small subunit ribosomal RNA", at positions 355 to 776 of the family's 1533-position model. The record is from RNAcentral. Lineage: Bacteria; Bacillati; Chloroflexota.
UGGGGAAUAUUGCACAAUGGGCGCAAGCCUGAUGCAGCCAUGCCGCGUGUAUGAAGAAGGCCUUCGGGUUGUAAAGUACUUUCAGUCGGGAGGAAGGUGGUAAGGUUAAUAACCUUGGCAAUUGACGUUACCGACAGAAGAAGCACCGGCUAACUCCGUGCCAGCAGCCGCGGUAAUACGGAGGGUGCAAGCGUUAAUCGGAAUUACUGGGCGUAAAGCGCACGCAGGCGGUUGAUUGAGUCAGAUGUGAAAUCCCCGGGCUUAACCCGGGAAUUGCAUCUGAUACUGGUCAGCUAGAGUCUUGUAGGGGGGGGUAGAAUUCCAUGUGUAGCGGUGAAAUGCGUAGAGAUGUGGAGGAAUACCGGUGGCGAAGGCGGCCCCCUGGACAAAGACUGACGCUCAGGUGCGAAAGCGUGGGGAGCAAACAGG